This 502-nucleotide ribosomal RNA is filed under the name uncultured Serratia sp. RNAcentral describes it as "bacterial SSU rRNA". It matches the Rfam family "Bacterial small subunit ribosomal RNA", at positions 505 to 1006 of the family's 1533-position model. The record is from RNAcentral. Lineage: Bacteria; Pseudomonadati; Pseudomonadota; Gammaproteobacteria; Enterobacterales; Yersiniaceae.
GUGCCAGCCGCUGCGGUAAUACGGAGGGUGCAAGCGUUAAUCGGAAUUACUGGGCGUAAAGCGCACGCAGGCGGUUUGUUAAGUCAGAUGUGAAAUCCCCGGGCUCAACUUGGGAACUGCAUUUGAAACUGGCAAGCUUGAGUCUCGUAGAGGGGGGUAGAAUUCCAGGUGUAGCGGUGAAAUGCGUAGAGAUCUGGAGGAAUACCGGUGGCGAAGGCGGCCCCCUGGACGAAGACUGACGCUCAGGUGCGAAAGCGUGGGGGGGCAAACAGGAUUAGAUACCCUGGUAGUCCACGCCGUAAACGAUGUCUAUUUGGAGGUUGUGCCCUUGAGGCGUGGCUUCCGGAGCUAACGCGUUAAAUAGACCGCCUGGGGAGUACGGCCGCAAGGUUAAAACUCAAAUGAAUUGACGGGGGCCCGCACAAGCGGUGGAGCAUGUGGUUUAAUUCGAUGCAACGCGAAGAACCUUACUACUCUUGACAUCCAGAGAACUUAGCAGAGA